AGUCCCAGAAACAUCAAGAGAGAUGAGAGCAUCUCAGACGUGUAGCUUCUUGUCAGCUGUCAUCAGGGCUGUCUUCAUCACUGAGUGUUUGCUGAUGUGCGUGAGGGGAGAUGGAGCAGAUUCUGAAGGAACAUUAGAAAUUAAGUACGUUCUGAUCGGAUGUGGGAUCGGCCUGCUCUUAGUCGGCGGAUUCAUUCUAAUGAAGGUCUGCAACGUCAGGAGGCAAGCGGAGGCAACGGAAUAGGGGAGAUGAUGGAGUAACAGCAUGACAAAAACCCAACAAUGAAGAUGGACUCUAAAUAUUCUGCACUGACUGAAGGAAACGCGUUUCUCUCCACAGCUAUAGGUUCUCAUAACCUUUAUUUACUCUCAACAGUAGCCUCAUUUGAUCGCUUCGAGCCGUCUCAGCCAAUCAGAGUGUCCCGUGACGGCGGUGUCCAGUGACUUGCGAUGUUAAAGGUCAGGCAGAGUGAUUUGCACGAUGAUGCGAACCCUGCAAAAGAGGAACGUGGGUGAAAGGUGAACCAGGCGGCCCGUUGUCUGCUCACGUUUUGUCGCACAGACCUCAGAAUAGAACCUUUAUAUAUCUUUUUUACCUCCUCAUAGCACGCAUCAUUAUAGUGUUCACAGACGGAGCUGUAAAAAUGCAUUUUUAUCUGACUGUGGUGAGUUGUCUUGUUUGUAAAGCUUAAUAAACGAGGUUAAGGCCAUGUAGGAGCCUGAAUA
Long non-coding RNA from Stegastes partitus (bicolor damselfish), 726 nucleotides. RefSeq lists it as uncharacterized. The transcript has 4 exons. The record is from RefSeq and is a predicted model, not a curated record. NCBI's taxonomy places the organism in Eukaryota, Metazoa, Chordata, Actinopteri, Pomacentridae.